AUGAUACCGCUGCUGCUUCCCUCC
Molecule: non-coding RNA, 24 nt
Filed under: Arabidopsis thaliana (thale cress)
Lineage: Eukaryota; Viridiplantae; Streptophyta; Magnoliopsida; Brassicales; Brassicaceae
Source: RNAcentral